RNAcentral lists this ribosomal RNA (776 nucleotides) under Sporidesmium sp. Its description in RNAcentral is "partial large subunit ribosomal RNA". It matches the Rfam family "Eukaryotic large subunit ribosomal RNA", at positions 145 to 937 of the family's 3401-position model. Lineage: Eukaryota; Fungi; Ascomycota; Sordariomycetes; Sporidesmiaceae. The record is from RNAcentral.
GUAAUUUGCAGAGGGAGCUUUUGGCGUCGGUCGUGGUCUAAGUUCCUUGGAACAGGACGUCACAGAGGGUGAGAAUCCCGUACGUGGCCGCCGGCCUUCGCCUUGUAAAGCCCCUUCGACGAGUCGAGUUGUUUGGGAAUGCAGCUCUAAAUGGGAGGUAAAUUCCUUCUAAAGCUAAAUACCCGCCAGAGACCGAUAGCGCACAAGUAGAGUGAUCGAAAGAUGAAAAGCACUUUGGAAAGAGAGUGAAAAAGCACGUGAAAUUGUUGAAAGGGAAGCGCUUGCGGCUAGACGUGCCCGCGGUUGAUCAUCCAGGCUCCGGCCUGGUGCACUCCUCCGCGGGCAGGCCAGCAUCAGUUCGGGCGGUCGGAUAAAGGCCUCUGUCACGUACCACCCCUCGGGGUGGCCUUAUAGGGGAGGCGCAACACGGCCAGCCCGGACUGAGGUUCCGCGCAUCUGCUAGGAUGCUGGCGUAAUAGCAGCAAGCGGCCCGUCUUGAAACACGGACCAAGGAGUCUAACAUCUAUGCGAGUGUUUGGGUGUCAAGCCCGAGCGCGCAAUGAAAGUGAACGGAGGUGGGAACCCUCACGGGUGCACCAUCGACCGAUCCUGAUGUCUUCGGAUGGAUUUGAGUAAGAGCAUAGCUGUUGGGACCCGAAAGAUGGUGAACUAUGCCUGAAUAGGGUGAAGCCAGAGGAAACUCUGGUGGAGGCUCGCAGCGGUUCUGACGUGCAAAUCGAUCGUCAAAUUUGGGCAUAGGGGCGAAAGACUAAUCG